AAUAUCCGAUGGUCUUCUUGGGGCGGAAGCUCUGAGAAGUAAAGGCACUUCGGUGCCGCGCGGAGAGGGGGCUGCGGCCCAUCAGCUAGACGGCGGGGUAAUGGCCCACCGUGGCAACGACGGGUAGGGGGCCUGAGAGGGUGGCCCCCCACAUGGGGACUGAGACACGGCUCCGACUCCUACGGGAGGCAGCAGUGGGGAAUCUUGGGCAAUGGGCGAAAGCCUGACCCAGCGACGCCGCGUGCGGGACGAAGCCCUUCGGGGUGUAAACCGCUUUUCCAGGGGAAGAAUAAGGUGAGGAGGGAAUGCCUCAUCGAUGACGGUACCCUGGGAAUAAGCCACGGCUAACUACGUGCCAGCAGCCGCGGUAAGACGUAGGUGGCGAGCGUUACCCGGAUUCACUGGGCGUAAAGGGCGCGUAGGCGGUUUGGCAAGUCGCCUGUGAAAGCCCCCGGCUCAACUGGGGGAGGUCGGGCGAAACUGCUAGGCUGGAGGACGGCAGAGGAAGGUGGAACGACCGGAGUAGCGGUGAAAUGCGUAGAUACCGGUCGGUAUCCCGAUGGCGAAGGCAGCUACCUGGACCAACACUGACACUGAGGCACGAAAGCGUGG
Molecule: ribosomal RNA, 612 nt
Filed under: bacterium enrichment culture clone AD_Bacteria_17
Lineage: Bacteria
Description: bacterial SSU rRNA
Rfam family: Bacterial small subunit ribosomal RNA
Source: RNAcentral